CGCCACCAACUCUCGCGGGAGUCUCGGGUAUCGCAAAGCACCGAAUUGCUUUACGGCUUUUCUAAAUAAACAAGAACCUGGAUUCGGGGAUUCAGCCUGUAUCUGGGAGACGAGACAGACGAACAGCAAAACAACCAUCAAAACAAACAUGUUUGGUAGCGAGUACGCUAACACCCCAGCAAGCAAGCAAGCUAGAAACAUACAGGGCUCACAACAAAACGGUUCCGCAAACACAUUUUUACAGAGGCUAUCAACAUCAAGAAGCCACAAUACAAAAAGGACACAGUUCACCCAAGGGUACUUACAAUUUCAAGAGCAACAGCGGGGAGCUCAUAGGGAUUGGGCUUCUCGGGAGUCGGGGUUUGUUUACCGGCGUUGCUAUGGGUUCCGGUCUUGUGUGUUCCAACGGUUUAUUAGGUAGGUCUAUCUAAUAAAUGAUGUCUUCGUGCGCGCCUAUCGCAUGAUUUUAGACUCAACGAUUUCGGUUGAGUAUGUGGGGAUUUUUUCAGUCGCAAUUGGUUUGCACAUUUUUAAAAGUGGUGGGGACAAAAUUCGUAUUUCAAAUAAUGGGGGGGACAUGUCCCCCCCGUAAUCGACGCCUAUGGCUGUACCCCACCACCUGAUGCUGCUGCACCCCACCACCUGAUGCUGCUGUACCCCACCACCUGAUGCUGCUGCACCCCACCACCUGAUGCUGCUGUACCCCACCACCUGAUGCUGCUGUACCCCACCACCUGAUGCCAGGUGACCCCCACAUCACCACUUGCCAUGAACACCGCACCACCUAAACCAUUAAUUUACACCGCUCCAUGUCCAAUGAAGUCAUACAUAUUGGCACAUAUUUCUGAUCGUUAAAUAUGUUUGAAGUAAAUUUUGGAACUGCAUAGUAAACUACACAUUUGUUUAAUUAAAACAAAUGCAUCUAAACUGUAAAGUUUAAAUGCCAGUUCUGAAUUAACUACCUAUCAACUACCUACAUAUCUGAUCCAAUGACCUAAUGCAUUCUAGACAUUUGUCUUUGUCUGCCAUGGUGCUGAGGUUCAUCUUGGCCACCUUAUAGCAAAUGGCUGAUAUUACAAAGGUUGAAUUGCCCUACUGGCACAACUGCAAAAAGAUAAGCUAUUCAUGUGAUUAACUUAUUUCACACGAUGCAGAAAGAUAAGCUAUUCAUGUAAUUUAUUUAUUUCAUAGAAUGUAUCCUAAAAUAACGAUGCUCCACAACCUCAAAAGCAUCGGAAGUUAAUCUCGUGUACCUUCCGUAAACACUGCGGCGACCUCACGCUACCGGAAACCAGAAGAAAUCAGUCCGGGAAGUAAAGGAAUUCAGUUUUCAAAGUAAAACCACAUUCUCUUCAUACUUCACCUCAACUGUUAUUAAGGU
This 1381-nucleotide long non-coding RNA is filed under the name Gadus morhua (Atlantic cod). Its description in RNAcentral is "lncRNA (ENSGMOG00000032672.1)". The record is from RNAcentral. Lineage: Eukaryota; Metazoa; Chordata; Actinopteri; Gadiformes; Gadidae.